This 445-nucleotide ribosomal RNA is filed under the name uncultured bacterium. RNAcentral describes it as "partial 16S ribosomal RNA". It matches the Rfam family "Bacterial small subunit ribosomal RNA", at positions 354 to 796 of the family's 1533-position model. The record is from RNAcentral.
GUGAGGAAUAUUGGUCAAUGGGCGGGAGCCUGAACCAGCCAAGUCGCGUGAAGGAAGAAGGAUCUAUGGUUCGUAAACUUCUUUUGCAGGGGAAUAAAGUGCAGGACGUGUCCUGUUUUGUAUGUACUGUACGAAUAAGGAUCGGCUAACUCCGUGCCAGCAGCCGCGGUAAUACGGAGGAUCCGAGCGUUCUCCGGAUUUAUUGGGUUUAAAGGGUGCGUAGGUGGUUUGAUAAGUCAGCGGUGAAAGUUUGCAGCUUAACUGUAAAAAUGCCGUUGAAACUGUCGGACUUGAGUGUAAAUGAGGUAGGCGGAAUGCGUGGUGUAGCGGUGAAAUGCAUAGAUAUCACGCAGAACUCCGAUUGCGAAGGCAGCUUACUAAGCUACAACUGACACUGAAGCACGAAAGCGUGGGGAUCAAACAGGAUUAGAUACCCGGGUAGUCC